RNAcentral lists this ribosomal RNA (312 nucleotides) under uncultured Chytridiales. RNAcentral describes it as "partial large subunit ribosomal RNA". It matches the Rfam family "Eukaryotic large subunit ribosomal RNA", at positions 40 to 350 of the family's 3401-position model. The record is from RNAcentral. Lineage: Eukaryota; Fungi; Chytridiomycota; Chytridiomycetes; Chytridiales.
AUAUCAAUAAGCGGAGGAAAAGAAACCAACAGGGAUUCCCUUAGUAACGGCGAGUGAAGCGGGAAAAGCUCAAUUUUGAAAUCUCACAGGUUUCCUGUGCGAAUUGUAGUUUAAAGAAACGUUUUCGGGGAUGGUCUAAUCUCAAGUUCGUUGGAAGGCGACGCCAUAGAGGGUGAUAGCCCCGUGGAGAUUGGUAUCCAUUCCUAUGUGAUACGUUUUCAAAGAGUCGGAUAGUUUGAGAAUGCUGUCCAAAUUGGGUGGUAAAUACCAUCUAAAGCUAAAUAUUGGCGAGAGACCGAUAGCGCACAAGUA